This 459-nucleotide ribosomal RNA is filed under the name uncultured bacterium. Its description in RNAcentral is "partial 16S ribosomal RNA". It matches the Rfam family "Bacterial small subunit ribosomal RNA", at positions 338 to 795 of the family's 1533-position model. The record is from RNAcentral.
CCUACGGGAGGCAGCAGUGAGGAAUAUUGGUCAAUGGCCGGAAGGCUGAACCAGCCAAGCCGCGUGAAGGACGAAGGUGCCAAGCAUUGUAAACUUCUUUUGUCAAGGGACAAAAUCAGGCUCGAGAGCCUGACCGAGGGUACUUGAAGAAAAAGCAUCGGCUAACUCCGUGCCAGCAGCCGCGGUAAUACGGAGGAUGCGAGGGUUAUCGGGUUUUAUUGGGGUUAAGGGGUGCGUAGGGGGGCUGUUAAGUCCGCGGUAAAAGCCCGGGGCUAAACCCCGGCGCGCCGUUGAAACUGGUUGUCUUGAGAUGUCGAGAGGUAUGCGGAAUGCGCAGUGUAGCGGUGAAAUGCUUAGAUAUUGCGCAGAACGCCGAUUGCGAAGGCAGCAUACCGGCGGCGGUCUGACGCUGAGGCACGAAAGCGUGGGUAUCGAACAGGAUUAGAUACCCGAGUAGUC